GACACCUGACCUGACGGAGGGACGACUGACUACAUCCUGACUACACCCUGACUACACCCUGACGACUGAGUGUCCAAGCACCAGCCAAUCGCCCGCCAAGGAGCCGCGACGCACACAAGCCACAGCCCGGGUGUAGCACCGCCCCAUUGGCCAACCUCGAGGCAAGGCUGAAUGGAAAGGCUGAAAGGAGGGAACGCUGGGGGUCUUGAUGCCGGAUUCUAUCCAUAUGAAGAAGUUUUUUUGGCGCUGAUUUGAAAUUUCUUCGUCCUUCUGUUUUGCGAAAAUGUUGCACUUCAUUUCCCAGCUCUGCUAGCCUCACAGUGGAGGCAAAAGACCAAUCCAAGCAUGAAACCGAGAAACACAAAAGAUAUAUUUAUUUUGAUAUGAAACGGUCUAGAUAUCUCUCCUCAUCCCGCUAAGCAAAAAAAAAAAAA
RNAcentral lists this small RNA (434 nucleotides) under Histoplasma capsulatum var. duboisii H88. Its description in RNAcentral is "Histoplasma capsulatum H88 hypothetical RNA". The record is from RNAcentral. Lineage: Eukaryota; Fungi; Ascomycota; Eurotiomycetes; Onygenales; Ajellomycetaceae.